This 253-nucleotide ribosomal RNA is filed under the name uncultured bacterium. RNAcentral's name for it is "partial 16S ribosomal RNA". It matches the Rfam family "Bacterial small subunit ribosomal RNA", at positions 524 to 776 of the family's 1533-position model. The record is from RNAcentral.
UACGUAGGAGGCGAGCGUUGUCCGGAGUUACUGGGCGUAAAGGGUGCGCAGGCGGCCCGACAGGUGUGUGGUGAAAUCUCCCGGCUUACCUGGGAGGGGGCCACGCAAACCGUUGGGCUUGAGGCUCGGGGAGGGGCGUGGAACUCCGGGAGUAGCGGUGAAAUGCGUAGAGACCCGGAGGAACACCAGUGGCGAAGGCGGCGUCCUGGCCUGCGACUGACGCUGUGGCGCGAAAGCUAGGGGAGCGAACGGG